RNAcentral lists this ribosomal RNA (450 nucleotides) under uncultured bacterium. RNAcentral describes it as "bacterial SSU rRNA". It matches the Rfam family "Bacterial small subunit ribosomal RNA", at positions 917 to 1382 of the family's 1533-position model. The record is from RNAcentral.
GGGCCCGCACAAGCGGCGGAGCGUGCUCUUUAAUUCGUCGCAACGCGAAGAACCUUACCAGGGUUUGACAUGGACCUGCAGAGCCGUGAAAGCGGUUGGCCUUCGAGGGUGGUCCACAGGUGCUGCAUGGCUGUCGUCAGCUCGUGUCGUGAGAUGUUGGGUUAAGUCCCGCAACGAGCGCAACCCUUGUGUCCAGUUGCGAUUUUCUGGACAGACUGCCGGGAGCAAACCGGAGGAAGGUGGGGAUGAUGUCAAGUCAGCAUGGCCCUUACACCCUGGGCGAGAAGCACGCUACAAUGGCCGGGACAGAGGGUUGCCAAGCGGUAACGUGGAGCUAAUCCCAGAAACCCGGUCUCAGUUCGGAUCGAGGGCUGCAACUCGCCCUCGUGAAGGUGGAGUCGCUAGUAACCGCAGGUCAGCACUACUGCGGUGAAUAUGUUCCCGGGCCUU